GAAACUGCUAAACUAGAGUACUGGAGAGGUAGGCGGAACUACAAGUGUAGAGGUGAAAUUCGUAGAUAUAUGUAGGAAUGCCGAUGGGGAAGCCAGCGUACUGGACAGAUACUGACGCUAAAGCGCGAAAGCGUGGGUAGCAAACAGGAUUAGAUACCCUGGUAGUGCACGCGGUAAACGAUGAUUAAUAGGUGUUGGGGGUCGAACCUCAGCGAACAAGCUAACGCGAUAAGUAAUCCGCGUGGGGAGUACGUACGCAAGUAUGAAACUCAAAGGAAUGGACGGGGACCUGCACAAGCGGUGGAGCAUGUGGUUUAAUUUGACGCAACGCGAGGAACAUUACCAGCGUUUGACAUGCCAAGAAGUUAACAGAGACGUGUUCGUGCCUGUUCGGAGGAACUCGGUGACAGGUGGUGCAUGGCUGUCGUCAGCUGGUGUCGUGAGAUGUUGGGUUAAGUCCCGCAACGAGCGCAACCCCUUUGGUAUGUUACCAUCAUUAAGUUGGGGACAUCAUGCGAGACUGCAUGAGAUUGAGCAGGAGGAAGGUGGGGAUGACGUCAAGUCAUCAUGCCCGUUAUACGAUGGAUUACACCCGUGGUGCAAUGGGUAGUACAGAGAGAUGCAAUCCUGCGAGGGUAAGUUAAUUUCAUAAAGAUAUUUUUAGUUUGGAUCGUACUAUGCAACUCGAGUACAUGAAGUUAGAAUCGGUAGUAAUCGCA
RNAcentral lists this ribosomal RNA (719 nucleotides) under uncultured organism. RNAcentral describes it as "SSU rRNA". It matches the Rfam family "Bacterial small subunit ribosomal RNA", at positions 629 to 1346 of the family's 1533-position model. The record is from RNAcentral.